RNAcentral lists this ribosomal RNA (565 nucleotides) under uncultured Glomeromycotina. RNAcentral's name for it is "SSU rRNA". It matches the Rfam family "Eukaryotic small subunit ribosomal RNA", at positions 548 to 1114 of the family's 1831-position model. Lineage: Eukaryota; Fungi; Glomeromycota. The record is from RNAcentral.
UUGGAGGGCAAGUCUGGUGCCAGCAGCCGCGGUAAUUCCAGCUCCAAUAGCGUAUAUUAAAGUUGUUGCAGUUAAAAAGCUCGUAGUUGAAUUUCGGGGUUAGUAGGUUGGUCAUGCCACUGGUAUGUACUGGUCUCACUGAUUCCUCCUUCCUGAUGAGCCGUAAUGCCAUUAAUUUGGUGUUGCGAGGAAUCUGGACUGUUACUUUGAAAAAAUUAGAGUGUUUAAAGCAGGCUAACGCUUGAAUACAUUAGCAUGGAAUAAUGAAAUAGGACGUUCGAUCUUAUUUUGUUGGUUUCUAGGAUUGACGUAAUGAUUAAUAGGGAUAGUUGGGGGCAUUAGUAUUCAAUUGUCAGAGGUGAAAUUCUUGGAUUUAUUGAAGACUAACUACUGCGAAAGCAUUUGCCAAGGAUGUUUUCAUUAAUCAAGAACGAAAGUUAGGGGAUCGAAGACGAUCAGAUACCGUCGUAGUCUUAACCAUAAACUAUGCCGACUAGGGAUCGGAUGAUGUUAAUUUUUUAAUGACUCAUUCGGCGCCUUACGGGAAACCAAAGUGUUUGGGUUC